Long non-coding RNA from Mangifera indica (mango), 1260 nucleotides. RefSeq lists it as uncharacterized. The record is from RefSeq and is a predicted model, not a curated record. NCBI's taxonomy places the organism in Eukaryota, Viridiplantae, Streptophyta, Magnoliopsida, Sapindales, Anacardiaceae. The transcript is spliced from 2 exons.
ACUAUAAAUAUAGAUCCUCCCAAACCCUAACCUCAAUACAGUUCUAGCAGUUUCCUCAGCCUCCCUGUCCUCCUCUCUCUCGCUCUGCGAAAUCCUUCACUUUCUGUGGUAUGUUCAUCCGAAUCCAUCUUGCCUCUUUGAGUAGCCAUAUGAAUUCACAAUCAAUUUCAUAUUUGGUUUAGUUAGGAGGCAGAUAUUGAGCUAUAGGCCUUUUGAGGGGACUCUUAAAUGCUCUAAUUAAUCGUCCCCCAAGCAGCCUUGUACAUUUUCCUUUAUACCGUCUUAAAACUCAUGUUUGUUUGUUUCAAUGUUGCCUCUCGAAUAACCAGAAGGUUGAUUUAAUUCCACACCAUUUGGUUCAGACAGAGGCUUAUAGUAACACGCAGCAUAAAAGCCUUGCUUGAGGAAAGACCAAGUGUCCCCAUAAUAGAGUGGCACUUUGUCCUUGCGGAGGCUGAAAAAAGAGGUGUUUUCCUGAGUCAGUUUGAGGGAUAGGAACAAAUCACCUCUGUUUAGGGUUGGCAACGGGGAGGGGAUAUCAAUCACUGUCCCCGGCUUGUCACCGUUACGGGGAUAAUAAAGAAUCUCCGUCCCCUCCCCACGAAGGAAAAUCCCCUCUUCGUCCUCUCCCAAUCCUCUCUUUGUCUCCGCGGAGAAAAAUCCUCUCCCCAUCCCCUCCCUAUGUCCGUUAAUAUAAAUUUUAAUUCCUUCAUAUAUUUUAAUAAAUAAAAUAAAUCAUACUUUUUCAAAAUAUCACUUGUUACAAUAGUUACAAAAUAUUCAUUAUUUUUUUAGUUCAAAUAUAAAGUUUUCACAAAAUUUAACAAUAUGGAAUAAUCAAUCUUUUCAUUAGUAACUCUUCAUAUUGAAAUCAUUAUUAUGAAGAUUUUUUUCAUAUGUAUCCCUAUCCUCGAUUACGAAGAUUUUUUUUCAUUCCCAUCUCCGUUCCUUUUCCUGUUUUUAUCGGGGAAUCCUCUCUCCGUUAGGGUCGGGGCCCUUAAAGUCGGGCUCAAAUUGUCAUCCUUAUCUCUGUUCCUUUCCUAUAGAUGACUUCGGACAAUUUAAUCUAGUUAGUCAUUAGCAAUCAUAAGGUUAUUGCAUAAGUUUUUAUUUUCUUCUGAUCUUUCCAGAAUCUGAUCAUGUCUAGGCUUAAAGUUUGCCUUGCAUUUACUUUACAAUGCCUCAUUUGUUUUGGUAGUGAAUCUUGGUAAUAAUAAAACUAUAUCUACCCAAUUUUGAAUAUCCAAUUGGGUUUCCAGA